GCCAUGCCGCGUGCAGGAUGACGGUCCUAUGGAUUGUAAACUGCUUUAGAAGAGAGAAACACUCCAACGUGUUGGAGCUUGACGGUAUCGUAAGAAUAAGGAUCGGCUAACUCCGUGCCAGCAGCCGCGGUAAUACGGAGGAUCCAAGCGUUAUCCGGAAUCAUUGGGUUUAAAGGGUCCGUAGGCGGUUUAGUAAGUCAGUGGUGAAAGCCCAUCGCUCAACGGUGGAACGGCCAUUGAUACUGCUAAACUUGAAUUAUUAGGAAGUAACUAGAAUAUGUAGUGUAGCGGUGAAAUGCUUAGAGAUUACAUGGAAUACCAAUUGCGAAGGCAGGUUACUACUAAUGGAUUGACGCUGAUGGACGAAAGCGUGGGUAGCGAACAGGAUUAGAUACCCUGGUAGUCCACGCCGUAAACGAUGGAUACUAGCUGUUGGAAGCAAUUUCAGUGGCUAAGCGAAAGUGAUAAGUAUCCCACCUGGGGAGUACGUUCGCAAGAAUGAAACUCAAAGGAAUUGACGGGGGCCCGCACAAGCGGUGGAGCAUGUGGUUUAAUUCGAUGAUACGCGAGGAACCUUACCAAGGCUUAAAUGUAGAUUGACCGGUUUGGAAACAGAUCU
Molecule: ribosomal RNA, 619 nt
Filed under: Flavobacterium sp. Ri1Pt_3710
Lineage: Bacteria; Pseudomonadati; Bacteroidota; Flavobacteriia; Flavobacteriales; Flavobacteriaceae
Description: bacterial SSU rRNA
Rfam family: Bacterial small subunit ribosomal RNA
Source: RNAcentral